Long non-coding RNA from Anguilla rostrata (American eel), 1667 nucleotides. RefSeq lists it as uncharacterized. The transcript is spliced from 3 exons. NCBI's taxonomy places the organism in Eukaryota, Metazoa, Chordata, Actinopteri, Anguilliformes, Anguillidae. The record is from RefSeq and is a predicted model, not a curated record.
GGGAGUUUUUAUAGACCAUUAAUCCUGAUUGACAGUUUAAGUGUUUGGGAAUAUUGCACUACUGUGUUGUCUGUGAGUGGCUGUUUUCCUCUCCUAGUUUCCCCACCCCCAGAAGCACUGGAAUAGCUCCCAUCUUUUUAUGAGAUACCCCUGACCUUAUGACCUGCGCAGCUUUCAAAGGAAAGACCCAGCAAUUCAGCAGUUUUUCAGUCAUCGGUCAUAAUUAUGGCAUUAUCGUCUCAGGUUCUCUCUGUGAAAGCUGGACAGUCACACAGCAGGCUGGUUGUUCGGGUUCAAUCCUUCAUCUCUGCCUGCUUCGUUCAGAUGAGGGUGGCCUGCUAUCCAAUCCCAAUCGAGGCCCCACACAGAGGGAAAAUGGCAGGCUUUUUGCCGAAGCUGCUCUGCUGACAUAAUGUCAGUAACCCUGUUAAAAAGAAAUGAAAGGUAAAAGAAUAUAUAAUACUUUUUGGUUCUGUAGCGUGAACUCUGCCUGUGACCCUGCCUCUAAAUGUGAGUGAGAUGGGUUUAAAAACAGGGUCUAACAAUGACUGUGUUAUAGUGUUCCCGGUUUCCUAGUAAAUGGUAAGAUGUGGAUGGGGAAGGAUGAAAAUUAACUCACUACCGUAGGAGUGUGCUUAUCAUUCAAUAGAGUAAUUAUGCUUCACUUAUUUUGGCAUUACAUUGCAUUGUAGUUAGGAACGUUACACAAAGCAGCAAAAUCAUCUUCUUUCUUCUGGGGAAGCGUAUUGGAUAAGUAUCUGGAGAAGAGAUUGCUUAUCAUUUAUCAAAAUUUAAUGGACUCAUCACACCCAAAACCAAUAACCUGUUAACUCAUCUGUGAGUUGUUUUAAUGUUGAGACUGAGGGUCUCAUCUUAAAUAUGUUUAGUGUAAGUGUUUAAGUUUAGCAACAAAAAAAAAAGAACUAUACCCUCAAUGUAAGUUUUGAAUACAUGUAAUCGCAGGGAAGAUAGUCUUCAAGAUCUUGAAUGAAUAGUCUUAUUCAGUCCUGGUUUACCAGGUGUCAGACUGAUACUGCAAUGUGUGCCAGUGCGCCGACCUCUUAAGCUUUCUGAUGUUUCAGAGAUUUCCACUGCCACCUAGAGGCCAUUGGUAAUAUAUACACUAGUUAUGAUUUUCUCGGGUUAUUCAAAUAAGUUUUACAUAUUAAGCACAUAUUUGAAAAAUUGCAUGGUCAGUGCAUGCUGCAUGUAUCAUCUCCUUAGAAAUACAUUUCAGUGUUUAAAUGCUUGAUUUUUUCAUUUUUAUGUUGACCCUUUGUUCUUUUUUCUUUCUUUUUUAAGCAAGUUGAGAAGGAGCACACAUUUAAGAAAAUGAGAGUUUAUGUGCCAUGUUCCAAUUGAAAAGCAAAUAGCAUACAAAUUGUUUAAAUUUAUUUGUCCUUGAACAUUUUUGGCUAUUGUGAUCGGGUAUCGAGAAGGAAACAGUGAGAAAAAGCUCAAAUCUAUACAUCUAGAGAGGUGUAAAGCUAGGUGUUUAGUCAUAAACGGACUAGGUUAGCUUCAGUAUAGCUCAGGUUUGACCUGGAUAUAGCCUGGCUAUGUCCUAGUCGGCUAGAAAACGUUUACUUUUCAACCAAAUGUGUCCAGGUUUUCACCUGAAUGUCUAGAUGGUAUAUUCCCAUCUAGACAUUCAGGUGUCUCCCAAU